UCUGGGUAGCUUAAAAUUAAAGCUUAAUAUUGAAGAUAUUAGUAUAAGUUAAUACUUUCUAGAUA
This 65-nucleotide transfer RNA is filed under the name Pygovepres vaccinicola. RNAcentral's name for it is "tRNA-Phe". Lineage: Eukaryota; Metazoa; Arthropoda; Insecta; Hemiptera; Miridae. The record is from RNAcentral.